AAUCCACUCAAGCCUGGCUUGGUAUUGGGCGCCGGGGACCCCCCGCGCCUCCAUUUCGCCGGCUGGCCGUCGUUUGACUUAGCGUUGUGACACAUGUCGCUAACGACGAAGACGGACCGCGCCGUGAGAACUCUCUUGGACGUCACCCGAUGUUCAGUAAA
Molecule: unclassified non-coding RNA, 161 nt
Filed under: uncultured fungus
Lineage: Eukaryota; Fungi
Description: sequence contains ITS2
Source: RNAcentral